AUGUCCGGCUUCCAGAUCAACCCGCUCAAGGAGCCGCUCGGCUUCAUCAAGGUCCUCGAGUGGGUUGCUUCCAUCUUUGCUUUUGCCACCUGUGGAGGUUUUAAGGGCAAAACAGAAAUUUUAGUGCAUUGUCCUAAAGCUGCUGACAAUAAAACUGUUACAGCUAAUUUUGGUUACCCAUUCAGGUUGAAUCAGGCAUCUUUUCAGGCAGCUCCAGAAGUAAAUGUAUGUGAUAUCAAGUGGAAUGAAUAUGUUCUGAUCGGUGAUUACUCUUCCUCUGCACAAUUCUAUGUCACCUUUGCAGUCUUUGUCUUCCUGUACUGCAUUGCUGCUCUUCUGCUUUACGUUGGUUACACGAACCUGUAUCGAGAUAUUCGAAAACUUCCCAUGAUUGACUUUAUUAUUACUCUUGUUGUCACUUUUUUGUGGUUGGUGAGCACUUCAGCCUGGGCUAAAACUCUUACAGAUAUUAAAGUAGCUACCAGUCCCAAAAUUAUUCCAGAACUUGAGCCUUGCAGUAAGCAUCCAGGAGUGACCUGUUAUUUUGACUCUGUCACCAGUAUGGGAUCCCUAAAUGUCUCUGUGAUCUUUGGAUUUCUGAAUAUGAUACUUUGGGGAGGAAAUGCUUGGUUUGUGUACAAGGAGACCAGCUUACACAGUCCAUCAAACACUUCUGCACAUGGCCAAGGAGGUAUCCCACCUCCUGCUGCAAUGUAACUAAAGGGGGAAAUACACUUUGUAAAAUAUGUGUCUAUAUUAUGACCUGUUGACAACAUCUUGAGAAGCAAUUAUUUGUUUCUCUAAUAAAAGUAAUGGAUUUUUCAAUGAAUUGAUGGGUUUAAAAAUUUGCUGCCUUUUUACAUAAAGCUUGUGCCUUUCCUAGAAAUUUAAGAUGUAAAUGUAUUCUGUCAUGUAAAUUUGAAAGUUCAGGAGCCUAUUAUGAUACACAUUUUUUAAUGAACAAUAUUUUCUUCACUAAGUUCUUUGCCUUCUGAAGUGUUUA
This is a non-coding RNA of Orycteropus afer afer, 1003 nucleotides long. The record is from RefSeq and is a predicted model, not a curated record. NCBI's taxonomy places the organism in Eukaryota, Metazoa, Chordata, Mammalia, Tubulidentata, Orycteropodidae.